Molecule: long non-coding RNA, 598 nt
Filed under: Felis catus (domestic cat)
Lineage: Eukaryota; Metazoa; Chordata; Mammalia; Carnivora; Felidae
Description: lncRNA (ENSFCAG00000048093.1)
Source: RNAcentral
UGUAGCUGCCUUUGUCAUUUGCCAUACUGUGAUGAUGGAUUAGGGAACACUGUGACAAAGAACAGAGUCUCAGCCUUCUCUGCACCUGCUCACACAAUAAAAUACAGGAUUUUCUUCUGUUCUAGGAAAGGUACAGAAUUUAUCAUGAAGACAAGGAAAAGCAGCCUGCCUCUUCACAGAUAUUUUGGAAAUAGCUUAAUGACAGAUCUACAAGUACUGAAGACAUUAUCAACACAUUUAAAAUUCUCUGUGAUGUUGGUUACUUGAAAAUCUUUAUCUUGUGUGUGUGUGCGGGCGUUUCCUGAAAUUGUUAUACUUCUUGGUCUCUUGCUGAAGAAUUUGCCAACACAUGUUCCUUGUGGGUAGUUGGGAAUAUAAAUCCUAGAAAACUCAAUGGCAUUCACAGUUAUUGUCUCUAAAAAGCAAGUGAGCCAACAAAAUUUCACCCUUGAAAUCUGACCUAUUCAAUUCUCAUAUUCUCAAAGGCAAGGACUAUAUCUUAUUUUAAAUUUGUGUCAGGUGUCUACAUGGCAUAUAUUCCAAAGGUUGUCAUUAAAUACUCAACAAGUCUGUUCAUUACCCACUAUAUGUAAGAUGC